AGCAAACCCUAGCACUCACCUAGGAACUGCAGUCCUUAUGUCACAGACUGUCUUUCAAGUUUAUUUAGAGCACCAGAACACUUUAGCCCGUGGGUGAAAAGGCUUGCCAGAACUCAAGUUCUAACAUCUGGCAUGGAUGAUUCCCUUCUAGUUAGGGCUGAUUUAAAUACUCCCUUCAUUGCGGUAUGGGGUGACAGGGCUGCUGCUGGGGGAUGGGGAAGAGAUGGCAUUGGUGAUUCAAGACUCUUUGCUAUCCUCUUCAAUGCCUCUUUCAGUGUAGGAAGUUAAAAUCAGUUAUGUAAUGGAAUUGAAUGAAGCAAGUGUCAGAUCUACAUCUCUACAAACACUCACUUUAUCAGUUCAGAGAAUAAAGAGAUGAAUUUAAUAAUGCCACUGGACACUUAUACUCUAUCGGAUCCUAAUAAUUUCUCACACUAAUGAAUUCUUCUAUCAACUUCAUGUUAAUCAAGAGGAGACAGAGCCAAGAAGUGAGUAAUUGCUUACUGAAUUGUGAAAGCUGGGAUGAUUUAACUACAGCUGCCAUUUUCAACUGCCCUGAGAAUACCAUGUCAGAAGCCAGUCAAGAGUACUGGAUGAUGGAAAUCUACAUGGAGGAGAAUGAAAGUGUCUCAACCAAAAUCAGCACUGACUGAAAAGUAAGGCCAUCUAGGAUGUUCCAGCCCCAGCUAAACUUCACCUGAAUGCAUGAGUGUACCCAGGAGAAAUGUCAGAAGAACCACCAAGUAACCUACAGACAAAUAAAAAAUAAUCAAGUGCCAUUUUUUUUUUGUAAGCAACUGAGCUUUGGAGAUGUUUGUUAUGCAGCAAUAGUUAGUCUAACAUGACUGUCAUUCUAAAAAUCAAUGCUAAUCAUUGCAAAUGUUAAUACCAAUAAUUAAUACAAAUGACAGCUUUCUGACAAGAGUCGAGUAUAUCUCCAAAACCUAAGUUUCUUAAUGUUGAAUUAGAGUUCUUAAUGAAUAAACAUAUAGUCUUCUAAGUUAGUAAAUGUACUUCAAAUAGAAAUCCGUUUUUUGAAACUAACUAUAUUGCUGUUGUGAAUUAAAUUGUGUCCCCAAGAAUUCAUGUUGAAGCCCUAACCCCAUUGAUACUGUAUUUGGGGAUAGGGGACUUUAGGAAGGGAAUUAAGGUUAAAUGAGAUUAUGUGGGUGGAGUUUUAAUCUGAUAAUUCUGGUGACCAUCAUAAGAAGAGGAAGAGGCACCAGCAAUCUCUCUUUCUUCACAAGUACACAGAGAAGAGGCCAUGUGAGGACACAGUGGGGAAGUAAAUAUCUGCAAAUUAAGAAGGGAAGCCUCACCAGAAGCCAGCCCUGACAGGCCAUGGAUCUUAGAGUUACAGCUUUCAGAACUGUGAGAAAAUAAAUUUCUGUUAUUAAAGCCACCCAGUUUGUGGUAUUUUGUCAUGGUAGCCCUAGAAGAUGAAUGCAAUCACUUAUUUACUUUACUUUACAUUUGGAUUUUCAUUUACUCCUGGAGAAUUAAAUAGUCAUGAAGAAGGACUGAGAUAAAAUGUUCUGCUACUAUUGUAGUUUUCUUCUGCUGCUUUGUAUUUCCUGCCAAUUUCCCCCAUAUAUUUGAUGAUAAGUUACGGAGGGCAUAAGAGUUCUUUAGUACACUCUUCUAAUUCUGAUUAUAUACCCAUUGUGACAAAAUAGCACUUUCAGUAAAUGCCUUUGGCUUUGAUUUUGAUUGCAUUCAUGUUUGUAAGGAAAAAAAAAAUCACACCUAAACCAAAUUACACUUGACCCUCCCCACCAAAUUGUCCAUAUAUUCUAUACACAUCAUUUUACUUUGUGUAUUAAACAAACACGGUAAUUCUUAUGCACACUGAAGUUUGAUAAACACUAAUCUGAGAAAGAAACAAACUAAAUGUCUCUUCACAGAUGUUCAAGUAAUCAAACCAUUCUGCAUUUAGACUAACCCUCAAAUCAUGAAGGAGUGCAAGGAUGAGUGAAGAAUUUCAAAAUGUUUCUGUCUGCCUGCAAUGUUAAUUCCAUACUGUUUCAGUUUUAAUCCUGUAUUAGUUUUUAAAAUAUCAGUAGUUUGUAUAGUGAGUUAUUGAAGUGCCUACAAUGAGAGAAUAGAUUCUAAAAACAUCUCCUGAGUUAAGACACAACUGCAUCAAGUUGUGAUUCCUACGUUCUUUUGUUAGCUUUUCCUUAUUGUAUUUUUGUCCAACAUGUUUUAGAGCUUUACUGAUUCAUAUAAAUUAAAUGGUCUACCUUUUACUCUGUUGCUGUCUUAGAGCUGCUAGCCUGUUCUUAAUUGCUUACUCUGCAAAUCCCCAUUGAUUUCAAGAGUGUCCUAGAAACUUGAGUCAACAUAGACUUGAACUUUCCCACACUGUACUCUCAAUAAAGUCAG
Molecule: long non-coding RNA, 2385 nt
Filed under: Homo sapiens (human)
Lineage: Eukaryota; Metazoa; Chordata; Mammalia; Primates; Hominidae
Description: HSALNT0192823
Source: RNAcentral